CAAAAAAUUGGUUUUUAGUUUUUGAGAAAAAUAAUGUUGAUGGAGUAAAAACUAGAUUCCCUAAAUUUUAGGAAAACUGAAAAACUAAAAUCAUGAAUGGAAAACUACAACAAAAUAGUUUUUCUAAAUUGUAGGGAAACCAAAAUUUUAAAAUCUUGAUUGGUAUGAAAAUAAGUUUUUGAAAAAACAAAAUCCAAAAACUCUUACAAAAUCUACAAAACAUUCAAGGCCUAAGUGUAACAAAUACUUACU
RNAcentral lists this small RNA (252 nucleotides) under Arabidopsis thaliana (thale cress). Its description in RNAcentral is "ATSL261210". Lineage: Eukaryota; Viridiplantae; Streptophyta; Magnoliopsida; Brassicales; Brassicaceae. The record is from RNAcentral.